This 496-nucleotide ribosomal RNA is filed under the name Pseudomonas sp. HA-OP19. RNAcentral describes it as "bacterial SSU rRNA". It matches the Rfam family "Bacterial small subunit ribosomal RNA", at positions 8 to 502 of the family's 1533-position model. Lineage: Bacteria; Pseudomonadati; Pseudomonadota; Gammaproteobacteria; Pseudomonadales; Pseudomonadaceae. The record is from RNAcentral.
AGAGUUUGAUCAUGGCUCAGAUUGAAGGCUGGCGGCAGGCCUAACACAUGCAAGUCGACGGCAGCACGGGUACUUGUACCUGGUGGCGAGCGGCGGACGGGUGAGUAAUACCUAGGAAUCUGCCUGGUAGUGGGGGAUAACGUUCGGAAACGGACGCUAAUACCGCAUACGUCCUACGGGAGAAAGCAGGGGGACUUCGGCCUUGCGCUAUCAGAUGAGCCUAGGUCGGAUUAGCUAGUUGGUGAGGUAAUGGCUCACCAAGGCUACGAUCCGUAACUGGUCUGAGAGGAUGAUCAGUCACACUGGAACUGAGACACGGUCCAGCUCCUACGGGAGGCAGCAGUGGGGAAUAUUGGACAAUGGGCGAAAGCCUGAUCCAGCAUGCCGCGUGUGUGAAGAAGGUCUUCGGAUUGUAAAGCACUUUAAGUUGGGAGGAAGGGCCGUUACCUAAUACGUGACGGCUUGACGUACCGCGUGAAUAAACGGCCAGCAGUCU